Molecule: ribosomal RNA, 1482 nt
Filed under: Lacticaseibacillus rhamnosus
Lineage: Bacteria; Bacillati; Bacillota; Bacilli; Lactobacillales; Lactobacillaceae
Description: bacterial SSU rRNA
Rfam family: Bacterial small subunit ribosomal RNA
Source: RNAcentral
GGGACCUGGCGGCGUGCUAUACAUGCAAGUCGAACGAGUUCUGAUUAUUGAAAGGUGCUUGCAUCUUGAUUUAAUUUUGAACGAGUGGCGGACGGGUGAGUAACACGUGGGUAACCUGCCCUUAAGUGGGGGAUAACAUUUGGAAACAGAUGCUAAUACCGCAUAAAUCCAAGAACCGCAUGGUUCUUGGCUGAAAGAUGGCGUAAGCUAUCGCUUUUGGAUGGACCCGCGGCGUAUUAGCUAGUUGGUGAGGUAACGGCUCACCAAGGCAAUGAUACGUAGCCGAACUGAGAGGUUGAUCGGCCACAUUGGGACUGAGACACGGCCCAAACUCCUACGGGAGGCAGCAGUAGGGAAUCUUCCACAAUGGACGCAAGUCUGAUGGAGCAACGCCGCGUGAGUGAAGAAGGCUUUCGGGUCGUAAAACUCUGUUGUUGGAGAAGAAUGGUCGGCAGAGUAACUGUUGUCGGCGUGACGGUAUCCAACCAGAAAGCCACGGCUAACUACGUGCCAGCAGCCGCGGUAAUACGUAGGUGGCAAGCGUUAUCCGGAUUUAUUGGGCGUAAAGCGAGCGCAGGCGGUUUUUUAAGUCUGAUGUGAAAGCCCUCGGCUUAACCGAGGAAGUGCAUCGGAAACUGGGAAACUUGAGUGCAGAAGAGGACAGUGGAACUCCAUGUGUAGCGGUGAAAUGCGUAGAUAUAUGGAAGAACACCAGUGGCGAAGGCGGCUGUCUGGUCUGUAACUGACGCUGAGGCUCGAAAGCAUGGGUAGCGAACAGGAUUAGAUACCCUGGUAGUCCAUGCCGUAAACGAUGAAUGCUAGGUGUUGGAGGGUUUCCGCCCUUCAGUGCCGCAGCUAACGCAUUAAGCAUUCCGCCUGGGGAGUACGACCGCAAGGUUGAAACUCAAAGGAAUUGACGGGGGCCCGCACAAGCGGUGGAGCAUGUGGUUUAAUUCGAAGCAACGCGAAGAACCUUACCAGGUCUUGACAUCUUUUGAUCACCUGAGAGAUCAGGUUUCCCCUUCGGGGGCAAAAUGACAGGUGGUGCAUGGUUGUCGUCAGCUCGUGUCGUGAGAUGUUGGGUUAAGUCCCGCAACGAGCGCAACCCUUAUGACUAGUUGCCAGCAUUUAGUUGGGCACUCUAGUAAGACUGCCGGUGACAAACCGGAGGAAGGUGGGGAUGACGUCAAAUCAUCAUGCCCCUUAUGACCUGGGCUACACACGUGCUACAAUGGAUGGUACAACGAGUUGCGAGACCGCGAGGUCAAGCUAAUCUCUUAAAGCCAUUCUCAGUUCGGACUGUAGGCUGCAACUCGCCUACACGAAGUCGGAAUCGCUAGUAAUCGCGGAUCAGCACGCCGCGGUGAAUACGUUCCCGGGCCUUGUACACACCGCCCGUCACACCAUGAGAGUUUGUAACACCCGAAGCCGGUGGCGUAACCCUUUUAGGGAGCGAGCCGUCUAAGGUGGACCAAUUGUGGG